Molecule: ribosomal RNA, 253 nt
Filed under: uncultured bacterium
Lineage: Bacteria
Description: partial 16S ribosomal RNA
Rfam family: Bacterial small subunit ribosomal RNA
Source: RNAcentral
CACGUAGGGUGCGAGCGUUGUCCGGAAUUACUGGGCGUAAAGGGCGCGUAGGCGGCCCGCUAAGUCGAACGUGAAAUCCCCGAGCUCAACUCGGGAACUGCGUCCGAUACUGGCGGGCUUGAAUCCGGGAGAGGGAUGCGGAAUUCCAGGUGUAGCGGUGAAAUGCGUAGAUAUCUGGAGGAACACCGGUGGCGAAGGCGGCAUCCUGGACCGGCAUUGACGCUGAGGCGCGAAAGCUAGGGGAGCAAACGGG